RNAcentral lists this ribosomal RNA (492 nucleotides) under uncultured bacterium. RNAcentral describes it as "partial 16S ribosomal RNA". It matches the Rfam family "Bacterial small subunit ribosomal RNA", at positions 29 to 507 of the family's 1533-position model. The record is from RNAcentral.
AGUGAACGCUGGCGGUAGGCCUAACACAUGCAAGUCGAACGGCAGCACAGUAAGAGCUUGCUCUUACGGGUGGCGAGUGGCGGACGGGUGAGGAAUACAUCGGAAUCUACUUUUUCGUGGGGGAUAACGUAGGGAAACUUACGCUAAUACCGCAUACGACCUACGGGUGAAAGCAGGGGAUCUUCGGACCUUGCGCGAUUGAAUGAGCCGAUGUCGGAUUAGCUAGUUGGCGGGGUAAAGGCCCACAAAGGCGACGAUCCGUAGCUGGUCUGAGAGGAUGAUCAGCCACACUGGAACUGAGACACGGUCCAGACUCCUACGGGAGGCAGCAGUGGGGAAUAUUGGACAAUGGGCGCAAGCCUGAUCCAGCCACACCGCGUGGGUGAAGAAGGCCUUCGGGUUGUAAAGCCCUUUUGUUGGGAAAGAAAAGCAGCAGGUUAAUACCCCGCUGUUCUGACGGUACCCAAAGAAUAAGCACCGGCUAACUUCGUG